UCGCUGCUCAGUUUCAAAAUAAAUAAUUUUUCAUAAAUUUAGUAUAUAUUGAUAGGGGGUUAAUUGAGGAAUCAAAACAGCAAAAAAAUAGGGGUCAAUGUGCAUGUUUUCGAGAUAUAAGCCAUUGGAAUUUUGGCGGGAAAAUGGUCUCUCUUGAUUUUUCAUAGCUUUAUCAUUGACCAGUUAAAGGUCUCAAAUAUUAUUAAAAAAUAAAUAAGAUUUUAUAAUACUUUUACAAAUGGCUUAUAAUUAUACACGUAAAAGAUUUAUAAAAAGAAAAAUGGGGUUCAUGGGCAAAUUUUU
This 303-nucleotide long non-coding RNA is filed under the name Mytilus galloprovincialis (Mediterranean mussel). Lineage: Eukaryota; Metazoa; Mollusca; Bivalvia; Mytilida; Mytilidae. The record is from RNAcentral.